UACGGAGGGUGCCAGCGUUAUCCGGAUUCACUGGGUUUAAAGGGUGCGUAGGAGGGCAGGUAAGUCAGUGGUGAAAUCUUCGAGCUUAACUCGGAAACUGCCGUUGAUACUAUCUGUCUUGAAUACCGUGGAGGUGAGCGGAAUAUGUCAUGUAGCGGUGAAAUGCUUAGAUAUGACAUAGAACACCAAUUGCGAAGGCAGCUCGCUACACGAAUAUUGACUCUGAGGCACGAAAGCGUGGGGAUCAAACAGG
This 253-nucleotide ribosomal RNA is filed under the name uncultured bacterium. Its description in RNAcentral is "partial 16S ribosomal RNA". It matches the Rfam family "Bacterial small subunit ribosomal RNA", at positions 524 to 776 of the family's 1533-position model. The record is from RNAcentral.